RNAcentral lists this small RNA (145 nucleotides) under Candidatus Omnitrophota bacterium. Its description in RNAcentral is "Omnitrophica WOR c-di-AMP sequence". It matches the Rfam family "c-di-AMP riboswitch aptamer (ydaO/yuaA leader)". Rfam says of the family: This family represents a conserved RNA structure found upstream of the ydaO and yuaA genes in Bacillus subtilis and related genes in other bacteria. The ydaO/yuaA element is thought to act as a genetic "off" switch for the ydaO and yuaA genes in its native state. It is believed that the element may be triggered during osmotic shock leading to activation of ydaO, a predicted amino acid transporter gene, and members of the yuaA-yubG operon which code for KtrA and KtrB K+ transporters. Lineage: Bacteria; Pseudomonadati; Candidatus Omnitrophota. The record is from RNAcentral.
UUCUGCUGAGGAUUUUUCAGCAGAAAACGGGGGAACCAAGCCUGACUUGUAAAAGUCUCGGGGCUAAUAUCCUGAUUUCUGGGGAUAAGAGGCGCACUCUCCUCUAGUCCGACAGCUAACUCUGUAAAUUCAGAAGAGAGAGUCG